Molecule: transfer RNA, 72 nt
Filed under: Cordylochernes scorpioides
Lineage: Eukaryota; Metazoa; Arthropoda; Arachnida; Pseudoscorpiones; Chernetidae
Description: tRNA-Thr
Rfam family: tRNA (bases 6-65)
About the family: Transfer RNA (tRNA) molecules are approximately 80 nucleotides in length.
Source: RNAcentral
GAAAUGGUAGCCUAGUGGACAUGGCAUCUGCCUGGUAAGCGGAACACUGGGUUCGAUUCCCAUCCCUGGACA